This 271-nucleotide ribosomal RNA is filed under the name uncultured bacterium. RNAcentral describes it as "partial 16S ribosomal RNA". It matches the Rfam family "Bacterial small subunit ribosomal RNA", at positions 524 to 794 of the family's 1533-position model. The record is from RNAcentral.
UACGUAGGGUGCGAGCGUUAAUCGGAAUUACUGGGCGUAAAGGGUGCGCAGGCGGUUCCGCAAGUCAGGCGUGAAAUCCCCGGGCUUAACCUGGGAAUGGCGCUUGAAACUACGGGACUGGAGUAUGGCAGAGGGAGGUGGAAUUCCACGUGUAGCGGUGAAAUGCGUAGAGAUGUGGAGGAACACCGAUGGCGAAGGCAGCCUCCUGGGCCAAUACUGACGCUCAUGCACGAAAGCGUGGGGAGCAAACAGGAUUAGAAACCCCGGUAGU